GGGUUGUUCUUCCACCUUAGAGGUGAGGUUGCUCAGUUUCUGGGAAAUUGACAUGUUUUUUAUUGACUCUAAGAUAUUUUGUUUUUAAAACAUAUCUUAGUAUUGAAAUAAUUUGUCUUUACGAAGAAGGUUGUAUAAUCUCAAAAAAAAAAUUGAAAAAUUGUAUAUAUUACAGUUUGUGUUUUAUUUUCAGCAAAAAGA
RNAcentral lists this long non-coding RNA (201 nucleotides) under Brassica napus (rape). RNAcentral's name for it is "long non-coding RNA (BNAP_LNC015801)". The record is from RNAcentral. Lineage: Eukaryota; Viridiplantae; Streptophyta; Magnoliopsida; Brassicales; Brassicaceae.